This 805-nucleotide long non-coding RNA is filed under the name Eutrema salsugineum. RNAcentral describes it as "long non-coding RNA (ESAL_LNC001003)". Lineage: Eukaryota; Viridiplantae; Streptophyta; Magnoliopsida; Brassicales; Brassicaceae. The record is from RNAcentral.
UCCACCACCACCAUACUACUACCACUCUCCUCCUCCUCCAGUCAAAUCACCACCGCCACCGUACUACUACCACUCCCCGCCUCCUCCGGUGAAAUCCCCACCACCACCAUAUUACUACCACUCACCACCUCCACCGGUGAAAUCUCCACCACCACCAUACUAUUACCACUCACCACCUCCUCCGGUGAAGUCUCCUCCACCACCAUACUACUAUCACUCUCCACCACCACCGGUGAAAUCUCCUCCUCCUUACUAUUAUCAUUCUCCACCUCCUCCGGUGAAAUCUCCUCCACCACCGUACUACUACCAUUCUCCACCUCCUCCAGUCAAGUCUCCACCACCACCGUACUACUAUCAUUCACCACCUCCUCCGGUGAAAUCUCCACCACCACCAUACUAUUACCACUCACCACCCCCACCUGUGAAAUCUCCUCCUCCACCAUACUACUAUCACUCACCUCCUCCUCCGGUGAAAUCUCCACCACCACCAUACUAUUACCAUUCACCACCCCCUCCAGUCAAAUCUCCUCCUCCACCAUACUACUACCACUCACCACCUCCUCCAGUGAAAUCUCCACCACCACCAUACUAUUACAACUCUCCACCACCACCGGUGAAAUCUCCUCCACCUCCAGUCUACAUCUACGCUUCUCCCCCACCUCCCACCCAUUACUAGGCUCAUCAAAUUCAACCAAAUUUCCCCAUUAUUCAAGUAAGUCCCCACGGUCCAAAACGUUCAAGUUACUCUUUAUCACCCACUUCAAUAUUACUUUGUCCUAAAAUCUCAGUUUCUUUCUUCACAGGU